This 843-nucleotide long non-coding RNA is filed under the name Gossypium barbadense (sea-island cotton). RNAcentral describes it as "long non-coding RNA (GBAR_LNC018652)". Lineage: Eukaryota; Viridiplantae; Streptophyta; Magnoliopsida; Malvales; Malvaceae. The record is from RNAcentral.
CUCGAGAAACUUCGAUUGAGAUAGAAUAAAACCCAGAAAGUAGAGGUCCUUCGAAGUUGCAAACUUCAAGAAACCAGAAAUGGAAAAUGAAAGUUAAGAGAAAAAAGAAUUUGCUUCCCAACACACUUCACAAGUUCUAAUAUUUGUAUGUUUAAGAGGUAUUUCGGUAACUUCACGAUGAAAAGUGAGAACCAAGUAAGAGAACUGUAUCGAGCAUAUAUCUCCACGUAUAGCCACGGCUUUCCUCCUCUCCGAGUAUAUCAUGAUGGCCAAAUUUAGUAUAUGCUAGAUUACUCUACUUCAUUAGUCAGAAAGCACGGCAACCAACUAUGUUGUUUAUAAAGGGGAUAAAUCUCAAAUUUAUACAUGAACUUCGAUCCAAUAUGUAAUGCUAUACAUGAACUUUCAUAUAGUGCAAUUAUCUACAUGAAACUUUGAUUUUGGUUUCAAUUGUACAUAUGAAAUUUCAAUUCUAUUCAAUUGUACACGUUUUGAAAUUAAAUACAUCCAUUUAUUUUAAUGUUGGAUAAAUAUAAUUGUUUGUGUAUGCAUGAUGUAUACGUAAAAUGGAGUUCUGUCAAAACAAUGUUAGUAAUUUGUGAAAAUUGAAUCGAAUCAGAAUUUCAAGUAUAAAAUUGAACAUUAAACUAAAGUUUGUGUGUGAUAUUGAUUCAUCCCUCUAGAAAGUUCUUAAUAUGCUAAGAUAGAAAGUCCGAGAGCUUAAUGCAAGCACUGCCUCUGGUGGCUUGCAGGCAGAUUGUUGUCAAUUUUCCAGUUAUAUUUCAUCAUAUACCGGCCGAUCAAAAAAUAGAACAGAAAAUUUAAUAGGAAAGUAUUAGAUAA